This 482-nucleotide ribosomal RNA is filed under the name uncultured bacterium. RNAcentral describes it as "partial 16S ribosomal RNA". It matches the Rfam family "Bacterial small subunit ribosomal RNA", at positions 28 to 523 of the family's 1533-position model. The record is from RNAcentral.
AGUGAACGUUGGCGGCGUGGAUUAGGCAUGCAAGUCGAGCGAGAACCGUAGCAAUACGGGGACAGCGGCGAAAGGGACAGUAAUGUGUAGGUACCUACCUCCGGGUUCGGGAUAGCUACGGGAAACUGCAGGUAAUACCGAAUAACGUCUCCGGACCAAAGGUGUGAUUCCACCUGGAGAGGGGCCUGCAUCCUAUUAGCUUGUUGGCGGGGUAACGGCCCACCAAGGCGACGAUGGGUAGCGGGUGUGAGAGCACGACCCGCGUCAUUGGGACUGAGACACUGCCCAGACACCUACGGGUGGCUGCAGUCGAGGAUCUUCGGCAAUGGGCGCAAGCCUGACCGAGCGACGCCGCGUGCGGGAUGAAGGCCUUCGGGUUGUAAACCGCUGUCGUAGAGGAGGAAGUGCAGGGGGGUUCUCCCCUCUGCUUGACCUAUUCUAGGAGGAAGGACGGGCUAAGUUCGUGCCAGCCGCCGCUGUAA